Molecule: ribosomal RNA, 625 nt
Filed under: uncultured Gliophorus
Lineage: Eukaryota; Fungi; Basidiomycota; Agaricomycetes; Agaricales; Hygrophoraceae
Description: eukaryotic LSU rRNA
Rfam family: 5.8S ribosomal RNA (bases 202-355)
Source: RNAcentral
ACUGCGGAAGGAUCAUUAUCGAAUACCACUUCGAGGAUAGGUUGUGCUGGUUGUCUUUUACCAAGACGACAUUUGUGCACACCUUUCUGACCCUCCUCUUUUAAAACCUGUGAACCUCUUGUAGGCCAAGAGAUUGGUCUACGUUUUACCAUUACAAACUCUUGUUGCAUGUACAUGAACGUUUGUUGAUAAUAAUAACACAACUUUCAACGAUGGAUCUCUUGGCUCUCGCAUCGAUGAAGAACGCAGCGAAAUGCGAUAAGUAAUGUGAAUUGCAGAAUUCAGUGAAUCAUCGAAUCUUUGAACGCACCUUGCGCUCCUUGGUUUUCCGAGGGGCAUGCCUGUUUGAGUGUCACGAAUUUCUCAACCUCAAUGAUUUGAUUAUCAUCGAGGCUUGGAUCAUGGAGGAUUUUGCUGGAUUUACAAAAGUCGGCUCCUCUGAAAUGCAUCAGUGAACCUAGUUGCCCUCAUUUUGCUUGUUGGCUUUGGUUUGAUAAUUGUCUAUGCCAUCGCUGUCUGCAAGUGAACAAAGUCGAAGGCUUCCUUGGUUUGCUACAAACCCUAACCUUAUGACGCUUUGACCUCAAAUCAGGUAGGACUACCCGCUGAACUUAAGCAUAUCAUA